This 546-nucleotide ribosomal RNA is filed under the name uncultured Glomeromycotina. RNAcentral's name for it is "SSU rRNA". It matches the Rfam family "Eukaryotic small subunit ribosomal RNA", at positions 548 to 1097 of the family's 1831-position model. Lineage: Eukaryota; Fungi; Glomeromycota. The record is from RNAcentral.
UUGGAGGGCAAGUCUGGUGCCAGCAGCCGCGGUAAUUCCAGCUCCAAUAGCGUAUAUUAAAGUUGUUGCAGUUAAAAAGCUCGUAGUUGAAUUUCGGGAUUAGUGCGCCGGUCGUGCCUUCGGUAUGUACUGGUGUUACUGGUUCCUACCUUCUGACGAACCGUCAUGUCAUUAAUUUGGUGUGGCGGGGAAUCAGGACUGUUACUUUGAAAAAAUUAGAGUGUUUAAAGCAGGCUCGCGCUUGAAUACAUUAGCAUGGAAUAAUGAAAUAGGACGUUCGAUCCUAUUUUGUUGGUUUCUAGGAUUGACGUAAUGAUUAAUAGGGAUAGUUGGGGGCAUUAGUAUUCAAUUGUCAGAGGUGAAAUUCUUGGAUUUAUUGAAGACUAACUACUGCGAAAGCAUUUGCCAAGGAUGUUUUCAUUAAUCAAGAACGAAAGUUAGGGGAUCGAAGACGAUCAGAUACCGUCGUAGUCUUAACCAUAAACUAUGCCGACUAGGGAUCGGAUGAUGUUAUUUUUAAUGACUCAUUCGGCGCCUUACGGGAAA